GCUGACACAUUGCAGCCAAUCAGCAGCAGACCCUCCCUCCCAGACCCUCCCACCUCUUGGACAGCAUCCAUUUUGAAGCUGCAUUCUUAGUGAGCUGUCCAGGAGUUUGGAGGGUCUUGGAGGGAGGGUCUGCUGCUGAUUGGCUGGAAUGUGUCA
Pelobates cultripes (western spadefoot toad) is the source of this 156-nucleotide non-coding RNA. NCBI's taxonomy places the organism in Eukaryota, Metazoa, Chordata, Amphibia, Anura, Pelobatidae. The record is from the annotation of a GenBank genome assembly.